GACGAACGCUGGCGGCGUGCUUAACACAUGCAAGUCGAACGGAAAGGCCCUGCUUUUGUGGGGUGCUCGAGUGGCGAACGGGUGAGUAACACGUGAGUAACCUGCCCUUGACUUUGGGAUAACUUCAGGAAACUGGGGCUAAUACCGGAUAGGAGCUCUUGCUGCAUGGUGGGGGUUGGAAAGUUUCGGCGGUUGGGGAUGGACUCGCGGCUUAUCAGCUUGUUGGUGGGGUAGUGGCUUACCAAGGCUUUGACGGGUAGCCGGCCUGAGAGGGUGACCGGCCACAUUGGGACUGAGAUACGGCCCAGACUCCUACGGGAGGAAGCAGUGGGGAAUAUUGCACAAUGGGCGGAAGCCUGAUGCAGCAACGCCGCGUGCGGGAUGACGGCCUUCGGGUUGUAAACCGCUUUCGCCUGUGACGAAGCGUGAGUGACGGUAAUGGGUAAAGAAGCACCGGCUAACUACGUGCCAGCAGCCGCGGUGAUACGUAGGGUGCGAGCGUUGUCCGGAUUUAUUGGGCGUAAAGGGCUCGUAGGUGGUUGAUCGCGUCGGAAGUGUAAUCUUGGGGCUUAACCCUGAGCGUGCUUUCGAUACGGGUUGACUUGAGGAAGGUAGGGGAGAAUGGAAUUCCUGGUGGAGCGGUGGAAUGCGCAGAUAUCAGGAGGAACACCAGUGGCGAAGGCGGUUCUCUGGGCCUUUCCUGACGCUGAGGAGCGAAAGCGUGGGGAGCGAACAGGCUUAGAUACCCUGGUAGUCCACGCUGUAAACGGUGGGUACUAGGUGUGGGGUCCAUUCCACGGGUUCCGUGCCGUAGCUAACGCUUUAAGUACCCCGCCUGGGGAGUACGGCCGCAAGGCUAAAACUCAAAGGAAUUGACGGGGCCCCGCACAAGCGGCGGAGCAUGCGGAUUAAUUCGAUGCAACGCGUAGAACCUUACCUGGGUUUGACAUGGAUCGGGAGCGCUCAGAGAUGGGUGUGCCUCUUUUGGGGUCGGUUCACAGGUGGUGCAUGGCUGUCGUCAGCUCGUGUCGUGAGAUGUUGGGUUAAGUCCCGCAACGAGCGCAACCCUUGUUCACUGUUGCCAGCACGUUAUGGUGGGGACUCAGUGGAGACCGCCGGGGUCAACUCGGAGGAAGGUGGGGAUGACGUCAAGUCAUCAUGCCCCUUAUGUCCAGGGCUUCACGCAUGCUACAAUGGCUGGUACAGAGAGUGGCGAGCCUGUGAGGGUGAGCGAAUCUCGGAAAGCCGGUCUCAGUUCGGAUUGGGGUCUGCAACUCGACCUCAUGAAGUCGGAGUCGCUAGUAAUCGCAGAUCAGCAACGCUGCGGUGAAUACGUUCCCGGGGCU
RNAcentral lists this ribosomal RNA (1346 nucleotides) under uncultured bacterium. Its description in RNAcentral is "bacterial SSU rRNA". It matches the Rfam family "Bacterial small subunit ribosomal RNA", at positions 28 to 1381 of the family's 1533-position model. The record is from RNAcentral.